AGUGAACGCUGGCGGUAGGCCUAACACAUGCAAGUCGAACGGCAGCACAGUAAGAGCUUGCUCUUACGGGUGGCGAGUGGCGGACGGGUGAGGAAUACAUCGGACUCUACUUUUUCGUGGGGGAUAACGUAGGGAAACUUACGCUAAUACCGCAUACGACCUACGGGUGAAAGCAGGGGAUCUUCGGACCUUGCGCGAUUGAAUGAGCCGAUGUCGGAUUAGCUAGUUGGCGGGGUAAAGGCCCACCAAGGCGACGAUCCGUAGCUGGUCUGAGAGGAUGAUCAGCCACACUGGAACUUAGACACGGUCCAGACUCCUACGGGAGGCAGCAGUGGGGAAUAUUGGACAAUGGGCGCAAGCCUGAUCCAGCCAUCCCGCGUGGGUGAAGAAGGCCUUCGGGUUGUAAAGCCCUUUUGUUGGGAAAGAAAAGCAGCAGGUUAAUACCCCGCUGUUCUGACGGUACCCAAAGAAUAAGCACCGGCUAACUUCGUG
This 492-nucleotide ribosomal RNA is filed under the name uncultured bacterium. RNAcentral describes it as "partial 16S ribosomal RNA". It matches the Rfam family "Bacterial small subunit ribosomal RNA", at positions 29 to 507 of the family's 1533-position model. The record is from RNAcentral.